GACGAACGCUGGCGGCGUGCUUAACACAUGCCAGUCGAGCGGUAAGGCCUUUCGGGGUCCACGAGCGGCGAACGGGUGAGUAACACGUGGGUGAUCUGCCCUGCACUUCGGGAUAAGCCUGGGAAACUGGGUCUAAUACCGGAUAUGACCUCCUAUCGCAUGGUGGGUGGUGGAAAGAUUUAUCGGUGCAGGAUGGGCCCGCGGCCUAUCAGCUUGUUGGUGGGGUAAUGGCCUACCAAGGCGACGACGGGUAGCCGACCUGAGAGGGUGACCGGCCACACUGGGACUGAGACACGGCCCAGACUCCUACGGGAGGCAGCAGUGGGGAAUAUUGCACAAUGGGCGAAAGCCUGAUGCAGCGACGCCGCGUGAGGGAUGACGGCCUUCGGGUUGUAAACCUCUUUCAGCAGGGACGAAGCGCAAGUGACGGUACCUGCAGAAGAAGCACCGGCUAACUACGUG
Molecule: ribosomal RNA, 462 nt
Filed under: uncultured bacterium
Lineage: Bacteria
Description: partial 16S ribosomal RNA
Rfam family: Bacterial small subunit ribosomal RNA
Source: RNAcentral